GAUGAAGAACGCAGCGAAAUGCGAUAAGUAGUGUGAAUUGCAGAAUUCAGUGAAUCAUCGAAUCUUUGAACGCACAUUGCGCCCCUUGGUAUUCCAUGGGGCAUGCCUGUUCGAGCGUCAUUUGUACCCUCAAGCUUUGCUUGGUGUUGGGCGUCUUGUCGUAUUACGACUCGCCUUAAAUACAUUGGCAGCCGGCACUUUGGCCUAGGAGCGCAGCACAUUUUGCGAUCGUAGCCCGUUGUACUGGCGUCCAUCAAGAACAUUUACCACGUUUGACCUCGGAUCAGGUAGGGGUACCCGCUGAACUUAAGCAUAUCAAUAAGCGGAGGA
This 330-nucleotide unclassified non-coding RNA is filed under the name soil metagenome. RNAcentral describes it as "partial contains 5.8S ribosomal RNA, internal transcribed spacer 2, and large subunit ribosomal RNA". The stretch from base 1 to 120 matches the Rfam family "5.8S ribosomal RNA", at positions 35 to 154 of the family's 154-position model. The record is from RNAcentral.